This is a long non-coding RNA of Vigna angularis (adzuki bean), 1484 nucleotides long. RefSeq lists it as uncharacterized. The transcript is spliced from 4 exons. NCBI's taxonomy places the organism in Eukaryota, Viridiplantae, Streptophyta, Magnoliopsida, Fabales, Fabaceae. The record is from RefSeq and is a predicted model, not a curated record.
GUUGUCAUUUGCGGUGCGUGAAAAGUUUAUUGAAAGUUUUCGUUCCUUUCAUAGUCCACCCUUUCAUCUUGGAAGAGGAAGUUUAGGGUUAGAGUUGAGAGAGAGCGAGAAAGAAAAAAAAGGAGAACUCCAUGGCUACAACAGGCUGGACGUGAUCGGUGAUCAGAAGAGUUGGAACCGGCGAAUGCAAAGCAUCAGGAUGAUGCACAUAUUUUCUGCAGGGAGACCCAGAUAAAGGAUGAAGUGAGGAACGCAUUGAGUUUCAUCAAUUAUGUGUUUAACAUAUUUGGUUUCACAUAUGAGCUGAAGCUUUGAACGAUAUGCUUUCAAUCUAAAUUGUUAUUAAUGCCCAUGUACCUUUCUAAAUGUCCUUAAAAUCAGAAAAUUCAGAGUUUCAAAGUAUCUUAGUUGUUUUUAGAUUUUAUUAUGUCGUUCUAUUAAUGAAACAGUUUCCUCCAGUAGAUUAAAUUAUAAUUAUGGCUAUACUAGUCUCUUGUUUAAAUUUACUAAGAAAUAUAGUUUUUUUUUAUUGUGGGUCUCAUUCAUUAGUGGUAAUACUGGAUUAAAUUUUGCAAAAUAAUGUAUUCACUAUGUAUUUUUAUUUAUUUGGUAUGGUAACGGGGAUUUUCAUUAUAGUCUCGUUUUAACUUCACAGCAAAUUUGUUGUCUUUCUAUCCUGCUUCCUUUUUAAGGAGAAAAGCAUAGAAAGUUUUUUCGAAUCAAUCCUUGUUUUUUUUUCUUUCAAUUAAAGAUAAUUAUUUCAUGUGUCGGAUACUUCAUUAGAGACCAGAGAAAUACCUAGGAGAUAUUGCAACCUGGGAUAAUGCUUUAUAUAUAUCUUUCUACUUUUACAAAAGGCUCAUUAAUAUUCCACCUUGUACAAUAUUUUGGAAAUAGGAACCAGGGAAAUAUAUCAUAUUUGUAAUGAUUAGCAAAGGCAGAAAACGUUUCUUAAAUAAAACAGGCUAUUGACUUUUUAUUGUCUGUUUGUAAUUUGUUAGGAAACUUGUACUGCUAUAUAUAUUGAUAGUGAGAUGAAAGGGUUUGUUGGUCAUGUAACUUUCUUGGACUGCAAUUUUCUAGGUGAAAGAUCAGAUCCAGCAAGCAGGAUUUCACGUUUAGGCUUAUACAACUGAUAGGAAGAUUCAAAAGAAGGUCAAGGUAUUGGGCAGAGGGAAUCCACAUUGCCAUAUUUAGAACCCGAAGUCACCGGGCAAAGAUUGGUUGUCAGAGCCAACUUUGUUUGUGCUGGAAUUGGAAUUGUCAAUAGUGGAAGCGUUUGAAAAGUGUUGCUUUGAAAACCCUUGGACAAUAUUAGAUAGGAAAAAUCGUAGGCGCAUUGAAUAGUUUAUUAUGAAGUUUUUUGUCUUUGGAUAUAUGUAUGAAUUCAUAUGUAUUGUUAGGAAACACAAUUGUAAUUUUGAAUGAUCUUAACUCUUCAUAUUUUUUGAUGAAUAAAGGUUGAAUAUUUGAUCGAUUUGUAA